UUCUUCCCAGCACUUCCCUGCGAGC
This 25-nucleotide non-coding RNA is filed under the name Drosophila melanogaster (fruit fly). The record is from RNAcentral. Lineage: Eukaryota; Metazoa; Arthropoda; Insecta; Diptera; Drosophilidae.